This 468-nucleotide ribosomal RNA is filed under the name uncultured bacterium. Its description in RNAcentral is "partial 16S ribosomal RNA". It matches the Rfam family "Bacterial small subunit ribosomal RNA", at positions 28 to 507 of the family's 1533-position model. The record is from RNAcentral.
GACGAACGCUGGCGGCGUGCUUAACACAUGCAAGUCGAACGGAAAGGCCCUGCUUUUGUGGGGUGCUCGAGUGGCGAACGGGUGAGUAACACGUGAGUAACCUGCCCUUGACUUUGGGAUAACUUCAGGAAACUGGGGCUAAUACCGGAUAGGAGCUCCUGCUGCAUGGUGGGGGUUGGAAAGUUUCGGCGGUUGGGGAUGGACUCGCGGCUUAUCAGCUUGUUGGUGGGGUAGUGGCUUACCAAGGCUUUGACGGGUAGCCGGCCUGAGAGGGUGACCGGCCACAUUGGGACUGAGAUACGGCCCAGACUCCUACGGGAGGCAGCAGUGGGGAAUAUUGCACUAUAGGCGGAAGCCUGAUGCAGCAACGCCGCGUGCGGGGUGACGGCCUUCGGGUUGUAAACCGCUUUCGCCUGUGACGAAGCGUGAGUGACGGUAAUGGGUAAAGAAGCACCGGCUAACUACGUG